AUUGAACGCUGGCGGCAUGCCUUACACAUGCAAGUCGAACGGCAGCACGGGAGCAAUCCUGGUGGCGAGUGGCGAACGGGUGAGUAAGGUAUCGGAACGUGCCCAGUCGUGGGGGAUAACGUAGCAAAAGUUACGCUAAUACCGCAUACGAGCUAUGGAUGAAAGCGGGGGAUCGCAAGACCUCGCGCGAUUGGAGCGGCCGAUUUCAGAUUAGGUAGUUGGUGGGGUAAAGGCUCACCAAGCCGACGAUCUGUAGCUGGUCUGAGAGGACGACCAGCCACACUGGGACUGGGACACGGCCCAGACUCCUACGGGAGGCAGCAGUGGGGAAUUUUGGACAAUGGGCGAAAGCCUGAUCCAGCCAUGCCGCGUGCAGGAUGAAGGCCUUCGGGUUGUAAACUGCUCUUGUACGGAACGAAAAGGUUUGGGCUAAUAAGCUGAGCUCAUGACGGUACCGUAAGAAUAAGCACCGGCUAACUACGUGCCAGCAGCCGCCGUAA
This 500-nucleotide ribosomal RNA is filed under the name uncultured bacterium. RNAcentral describes it as "partial 16S ribosomal RNA". It matches the Rfam family "Bacterial small subunit ribosomal RNA", at positions 30 to 523 of the family's 1533-position model. The record is from RNAcentral.